Long non-coding RNA from Cyprinus carpio carpio, 681 nucleotides. Lineage: Eukaryota; Metazoa; Chordata; Actinopteri; Cypriniformes; Cyprinidae. The record is from Ensembl.
GUGUGUGUGUGUGUGUGUGUGUGUGUGUGUGUGUUAGGCCUAUAUUACAGUUUGAAAAUGUAAACGAGCAAAAUGCCUUUUCGAUUACUAAAUCCGUAUCCAAAACUGAAUGUUCUGCUUGAUCCGCCUUGGUGGACAUCUGAUCAACCUGAGCCAUAUUGGUGGUCCCCUGCACCAUCAGCACAGCUGAAGUGGUCCUCAGUUCCAUCAGCUCCACCCUGGUGGUCUUCUGCUCCAUCAUGGGGAUCUUCAGUCGUGUCUGCUCUGCUGUGGUAGUCUUCUGCUUUGCCGGCUCUGUCCUGGUGGUCUUCGGCUCCAUCCUGGCUGUUUGGAAGCCACUCCUUCAGGGGAGGAGGAUGGGCUAUGUCACGAUCACCAGCUAGAAUGCUCUUGAAUGCACUCCAUACCAUACCUUUUCCACUCUUUCAAGGACUUCAUUCCCCAUAAUCCUCUGCCCAGUCUCAUCAGCGCUCAUUGUUUGCACCUGUGUCUCAUUAGCAUGGUUAGCUCAUCCUAUAUAACCAGGUUCUCACUGCCAUUCUUUGCUAAGUCUUGUAUGUUUUUUUACUGCAAUUAUAAGCCUUGUAUCCUGGUUCUCCCAUAUCUUGGUUCCUGGGGCCUCAUUUAUAACUGUUGCAUACGCACAAAACCAGCCCUGAAAGAUGUGUACAUCACUUCCUG